AUUGAUUUUAUGCUUGCAUAAAUGAUUUUUUGGAUUCGGAGCGAGUGGCGAACUGGUGAGUAACACGUGGGUAACCUGCCCCGAAGCGGGGGAUAACAUUUGGAAACAAGUGCUAAUACCGCAUAAUUAGUUGGAACCGCAUGGUUCCAACUUGAAAGAUGGCUCUGCCAUCACUUUGGGAUGGACCCGCGCCGUAUUAGUUAGUUGGUGAGAUAAAAGCCCACCAAGACGAUGAUACGUAGCCGACCUGAGAGGGUAAUCGGCCGCAUUGGGACUGAGACACGGCCCAGACUCCUACGGGAGGCAGCAGUAGGGAAUCUUCCACAAUGGACGAAAGUCUGAUGGAGCAACGCCGCGUGAGUGAUGAAGGUUUUCGGAUCGUAAAACUCUGUUGUUAAAGAAGAACAAGUGUUAGAGUAACUGUUAACACUUUGACGGUAUUUAACCAGGAAGCCACGGCUAACUACGUGCCAGCAGCCGCGGUAAUACGUAGGUGGCAAGCGUUGUCCGGAUUUAUUGGGCGUAAAGCGAGCGCAGGCGGUUUUGUAAGUCUGCUGUGAAAGCCCUCAGCUCAACUGAGGAAGUGCAGUGGAAACUACAAAACUUGAGUACAGAAGAGGAAAGUGGAACUCCAUGUGUAGCGGUGAAAUGCGUAGAUAUAUGGAAGAACACCAGUGGCGAAGGCGGCUUUCUGGUCUGUUACUGACGCUGAGGCUCGAAAGCAUGGGUAGCGAACAGGAUUAGAUACCCUGGUAGUCCAUGCCGUAAACGAUGAAUACUAGGUGUUGGAGGGUUUCCGCCCUUCAGUGCCGCAGCUAACGCAUUAAGUAUUCCGCCUGGGGAGUACGACCGCAAGGUUGAAACUCAAAGGAAUUGACGGGGGCCCGCACAAGUGGUGGAGCAUGUGGUUUAAUUCGAUGCUACGCGAAGAACCUUACCAGCUCUUGACAUCUUCUGCCAACCCAAGAGAUUGGGCGUUCCCUUCGGGGACAGAAUGACAGGUGGUGCAUGGUUGUCGUCAGCUCGUGUCGUGAGAUGUUGGGUUAAGUCCCGCAACGAGCGCAACCCUUAUUAUUAGUUGCCAGCAUUUAGUUGGGCACUCUAGUGAGACUGCCGGUGAUAAA
RNAcentral lists this ribosomal RNA (1124 nucleotides) under uncultured bacterium. RNAcentral describes it as "bacterial SSU rRNA". It matches the Rfam family "Bacterial small subunit ribosomal RNA", at positions 47 to 1162 of the family's 1533-position model. The record is from RNAcentral.